GUCCUAGCCGUAAACGAUGGUCACUAGGUGUUGGGGGUAUCGACCCCCCCAGUGCCGGAGCUAACGCAUUAAGUGACCCGCCUGGGGAGUACGGCCGCAAGGCUGAAACUCAAAGGAAUUGACGGGGGCCCGCACAAGCGGUGGAGCAUGUGGCUCAAUUCGAGGCUACGCGAAGAACCUUACCACGGCUUGACAUCUGCGGAAUCCGCCGGAAACGGUGGAGUGCCCUUCGGGGAGCCGCAAGACAGGUGGUGCAUGGCUGUCGU
Molecule: ribosomal RNA, 266 nt
Filed under: uncultured bacterium
Lineage: Bacteria
Description: partial 16S ribosomal RNA
Rfam family: Bacterial small subunit ribosomal RNA
Source: RNAcentral